Molecule: long non-coding RNA, 264 nt
Filed under: Ananas comosus (pineapple)
Lineage: Eukaryota; Viridiplantae; Streptophyta; Magnoliopsida; Poales; Bromeliaceae
Description: long non-coding RNA (ACOM_LNC010011)
Source: RNAcentral
AUUUUUUUAAUGAUUAAUUUAUGUAAUAAUAUAAUAAUAUUAUUAGAUUAUUUAUUUGGUAGUUGAAUUUUUUUAUAGUAUAAAAAAUAUAUGUUUUGAUUUCGAAUGCAUUUUGAUAAUAUAUAAAGGAUAUAUAAGUUUGUUUUAUAUUUUUUACUAUAAUUUUUUUUAAUUUUAAAAUUUUAAAAAUUAUAUAUUUUAAUUUACUGAAAUAUUAUCUACCCACCGUGAAGCGCGGGCCCUAUACCAGUAUAUAUAAGGUGA